Molecule: non-coding RNA, 73 nt
Organism: Podarcis lilfordi (Lilford's wall lizard)
Lineage: Eukaryota; Metazoa; Chordata; Lepidosauria; Squamata; Lacertidae
Source: the annotation of a GenBank genome assembly
ACUUGGAUAGCUCAGUCGGUAGAGCAUGAGGCUCUUAAUCUCAGGGUUGGGGGUUCGAGCCACAGGUUGGGCA